Populus trichocarpa (black cottonwood) is the source of this 3050-nucleotide RNA transcript. RefSeq lists it as uncharacterized. NCBI's taxonomy places the organism in Eukaryota, Viridiplantae, Streptophyta, Magnoliopsida, Malpighiales, Salicaceae. The transcript has 5 exons. The record is from RefSeq and is a predicted model, not a curated record.
ACCAAGAAAGAUCAGGGAAUUAGUACAGGAUCAAGAGAUGCGAGAAAGAGAUGAGGAGAUAAAUUCAUGAGGUUUGAAACACUCAGGAUAAAACACACUGUUUUAUUUCAGCAACAAGAAGAUUAUAAAUAACUAAAAGCUCUUUAAAUACAUCUUCUCUUUUUCUCUAAUGUUUCUCUCUUAUAUUUCCCACCAACAAAGAAACCCACGAUUUGUUUGGCUGAUGUGCAUUUAUGGUAGAUAAAAGCACAAAAAAGCGAUUCUUGGAUUGCGCUACUGAAUUGUGAGGCAAUCAACGAUGAUGGGGUUUCUGUGAUCGCUACAAGUAGCUAGCUAGGAAGUGAGGGGCAAUUCCUUUGGAAACUUGUAAGUUGAGCGAUGAUCUGAAUUUGCUUCAAUUGAUGCUAAGAGAAAAGCUUUCUGACCCCUUUCAGCCGCCCGCGCGUGGAGUUAAGAUAGUUAUCACAACAAGAAACGAUGGCGUCCCAUCGUUCAUGGGUGGCUUUUCACACCACCAUCUAGAGGCAUUAUCAGAAUAUGAUUGCCUGUCAGUGUUCGCACAUCAUGUUUUAGAAAAGCAAAAUUUGAUGCAAUCCAAAUCUGCAAGCUUUUGGGUAAGAAUAGCAAGCUAGUGUAAGGGCUUACCGUUGGCAGCAAAAUUUUUUUGAGGGGAAGCUGCGUUCCACGCUAAACUAUGAUGAAUGGGAAAAGGUAUCAAAUUGUGAGAUAUGGGAUAUACAUGAGAAAAUGGAAGGAGUUUUUCCACCCCUAUGUUGCCACAACAGGAUAGUUUUUUAUGGUAGCCGACGGAUUUGUACCAUUUGUUGCCGCACUUUGUCACUUGAGGAGUUAACUGGAUGUACUGAUGGCUGCACUAUUCCGAAUAAGCUGAGGAAAUCAUGUAGCUAGUACUUCAAUGCAAUGGAGUCCUGGGUUGGAUGAGGCAAUUCAUCAGUGCCUGAUUGUGAGCACUCUUCGACUUUCAAACACCGAUCAUUUUGCAGUUUCCAUGGAGGAGUAUUCAACGAAUGAACAAGGAUCGAUCUUCUCAUGGUUUGGCCACAUUGGCCGUGGAAAAAACAAGUGGGAUUCCAGAUCUUGGAGCACUUUUCGUAUCUUCUUUCUGUAGAGCUUUUGGCUGGCUCGGAUAAUUCAGGUAUGGAAUAUUAUAUCUCAUAUAUAUCGUAGCUAGCUAGCAGUACUGCAAUAAAAUCUGCAUAUUUUGGCACACCUGCAAUGAACUGUAUGCGGUCGAAGCAAGGUGUGCUUAUAAUUUCUACAUUAAUUAUAAUCUCUAGCUAGAUAUUGCUUCAUAUUAUAUAUAAUCAGUCAGUUGAAUGCACAAGUCUUGUGUUAUAUAUAGCUAAAUCCAACAGAACUUAAUCAUGAUCAGAUCAACAAAAAGGGAAAUGAGGGGGGAAAUAUCAAUAGCGCGCAGUAUUAGGAAAUAUGGUAUGAUCAAUGCGAAAGGCGAGUCGUAGGUGAGUCAGGUUCUUUUAUUUAUUAGUUUACAGAGUGUGAUCCUAUAUAGAGACAUAGUCUUGGUUGGGCGAAGAACAUAUUUGCAGUAAGAUCGAUCGACCAAAUUCCUCCCGGAGUUGGUGAUGGAGCUGCACUGAGCGUGGGGUUCAAUUUCUAAGACCUAGGCUGCAAUAUUGAGCUUGGGUGGCCAAACUACUCUUGGUCCAGGUGAAUGCAUCAAAAUCUAGGUGAGAUUCUAUCAAUUUCUUUUUAUUUAAUUUUUAUCUAUAAAAUAUUAUUUUAUUUAAAAAAUUGUCUAAAACAACGCUACUUUUUUAAAUAAAUAAAUAAAAAAACGCAUGAAUUCAGGUUAAUUUAUUGAUUUGCAAGUUGACCUAUCCCACCUGUAAUCAAUCUAAUCUUGAACCAAGUCUCUUAACUAUGAAUGGGAUUGAUACUCCAUUCUCUCUCUCUCUCUCUCUCUCUCUCUCACUCACUCACUCACACACACACACACACACACACACACACACACAAGGAAAGCAAACAAUCAGUUAUUAAUUGAGAAAUUAUAAGAACAAGAUAAAAAGUUUUUUUUUUUUUUGAGUGAGAGAUUCCAAAGAAUAAUUUUAUUAGAUCUCCUUUUUUUUAAUUGAUCUCAAAUUGAUUUUUUUUUAUAAAAAGAAUAAUCUUGUUUAUAAAAAAUUAAAAAUUAUGGAUGCCAAAAUUUGAUGAAAAAAAAGAAAAAAGAAAUAUUUUAUUUUGAAGAAUCAGGUAUGCUUCGUUUCAGAAUAAUAAGGUACUUUGUAUUUUUUAAGAAAAGACGGGAAGAAAAACUUCAUCUCAUCCCACGUUUUUCAAACCUUGCCUUUUGAGAACUUUAACAAACUACUAUUUAUUAUUAAUAAUAAUUAUUUUUUUAAAAAAAUUAAAAAUAAUAUAUUUUUUAAUUUUAUUUCUCAUAUUAAAAUAAUAAUAAAAACACUAAAAAAAUUAAAAUAAAUAAUUUUAAAUUUUAGCAAAAUCAUGCCUAGCCGGAUAGCUAAACUGACCCUUAAAGGUGAGUAACAAAUCUUGUUGCUUUAUUUAGCAAAAAAAUAAAUGUGAUGUUGAAAUUAGAGUUUUAUAUCUGUUAAGAUUUAACCUGAUAAGUUAAAGAUUUCCCCACAAAGAGAUAUUUGUCUUAAACCUUAUAUGAAACCAAUAAAUAAAAAUAUAACUUAGAUUAACAAUCAAUCAAUAAUAUAUUUUAUCUUAGAUAAAGUGCACUGAGGUGAUACAUCUUUUCCUUGUACAACUAGUCUCCUUACUCACAUUCUCGCAAACCAUAGGUUUCCUAGUGACCAUGAUACUAGGUAACGACUCUCUCUAAUCAUAACUUUAUAAUUCAACCCAAAAACACCCUUCAAUUCGAUGAGGCAGCCCCGUCAUUUGAUGUCGGGCACGUCACGAGAGGGUGACGACUCUACUGGGGACUUGCCUGAUUGAGCUUUGUUUGCUUGUUUAUUUAUUUAUUUUUGUUAGUCUGAAUAAUUUAAUUUUAACAUGUAUUUUUUUUAACAUAUUACUCAUAUAUAUUUCUUUACAUG